CAACCCUCGAGCUCCCUUUGGGGAGCCCGGCGUUGGGGACCGGCAGCUACCGCCGACCCCGAAAUACAGUGGCGGCCCGUCACGGCGACCUCUGCGUAGUAAUCCAACCUCGCACCGGGAACCCGACGCGGCCACGCCGUAAAACACCCCAAUUCUGAA
This 159-nucleotide unclassified non-coding RNA is filed under the name uncultured Lecanicillium. RNAcentral's name for it is "sequence contains ITS2". Lineage: Eukaryota; Fungi; Ascomycota; Sordariomycetes; Hypocreales; Cordycipitaceae. The record is from RNAcentral.